GUAGGUGGCAAGCGUUGUCCGGAAUCAUUGGGCGUAAAGCGCGCGCAGGCGGUUCUUUAAGUCUGAUGUGAAAGCCCACGGCUCAACCGUGGAGGGUCAUUGGAAACUGGAGAACUUGAGUACAGAAGAGGAAAGCGGAAUUCCACGUGUAGCGGUGAAAUGCGUAGAGAUGUGGAGGAACACCAGUGGCGAAGGCGGCUUUCUGGUCUGUAACUGACGCUGAGGCGCGAAAGCGUGGGGAGCAAACAGGAUUAGAUACCCUGGUAGUCCACGCCGUAAACGAUGAGUGCUAAGUGUUAGGGGGUUUCCGCCCCCCUUAGUGCUGCAGCUAACGCAUUAAGCACUCCGCCUGGGAGUACGGCCGCAAGGCUG
Molecule: ribosomal RNA, 372 nt
Filed under: uncultured organism
Description: partial 16S ribosomal RNA
Rfam family: Bacterial small subunit ribosomal RNA
Source: RNAcentral